AAAAAAGUAAUCUAUAAUGGGAGUUGUCUAUUACUAAACACCGAAAACAGGUUGGACUAUUUUAUAUUACUAUUGUAGUCACUGACAUCGCUCUGACUGCAAAUAUGGGUGCUAUUGUUGAGAUCUAUUGUUCAAGGAUUGUCUCCCACCACAAUUUCACACACCGUGCAAUGGAAGCUCAGUCUGUUUACGUACAGUUGAAGAAUCUUGUAGAUGGAAAUAAUCGAGUGGAAAUGUAUUUUGUUUACUGUUAGUUAAAAUGUUAGUGUGUUUACGUACAGUUGAAGAAUCUUGUAGAUGGAAAUAAUCGCGUGGAAAUGCAUUUUGUUUAUACUGUUAGUUAAAAUGUUAUUUGUUU
Molecule: non-coding RNA, 358 nt
Organism: Paramuricea clavata
Lineage: Eukaryota; Metazoa; Cnidaria; Anthozoa; Malacalcyonacea; Plexauridae
Source: the annotation of a GenBank genome assembly